RNAcentral lists this ribosomal RNA (465 nucleotides) under uncultured bacterium. RNAcentral describes it as "partial 16S ribosomal RNA". It matches the Rfam family "Bacterial small subunit ribosomal RNA", at positions 28 to 507 of the family's 1533-position model. The record is from RNAcentral.
GACGAACGCUGGCGGCGUGCUUAACACAUGCAAGUCGUACGGUAAGGCCCUUUCGGGGGUUCACGAGUGGCGAACGGGUGAGUAACACGUGAGUAACCUGCCCACAACUUUGGGAUAACGCUAGGAAACUGGUGCUAAUACUGGAUAUGUGCUCCUGCUGCAUGGUGGGGGUUGGAAAGCUCCGGCGGUUGUGGAUGGACUCGCGGCCUAUCAGCUUGUUGGUGGGGUAGUGGCCUACCAAGGCGGCGACGGGUAGCCGGCCUGAGAGGGUGACCGGCCACAUUGGGACUGAGAUACGGCCCAGACUCCUACGGGAGGCAGCAGUGGGGAAUAUUGCACAAUGGGCGCAAGCCUGAUGCAGCAACGCCGCGUGCGGGAUGACGGCCUUCGGGUUGUAAACCGCUUUCAGCAGGGACGAAGCUUUUUGUGACGGUACCUGCAGAAGAAGCACCGGCUAACUACGUG